UACGUAGGGGGCGAGCGUCGUCCGGAUUUAUUGGGCGUAAAGCGCGCGCAGGCGGCUCCGAGAGCCCGGCGUGAAAGCCCCCGGCUCAACCGGGGGAGGUCGUCGGGGACCUCGGGGCUGGAGGCCGGCAGGGGCGAGCGGAAUUCCCGGUGUAGUGGUGGAAUGCGUAGAGAUCGGGAGGAACACCAGUGGCGAAGGCGGCUCGCUGGGCCGGUCCUGACGCUCAGGCGCGAAAGCGUGGGGAGCGAUCCGG
This 253-nucleotide ribosomal RNA is filed under the name uncultured bacterium. RNAcentral's name for it is "partial 16S ribosomal RNA". It matches the Rfam family "Bacterial small subunit ribosomal RNA", at positions 524 to 776 of the family's 1533-position model. The record is from RNAcentral.